Molecule: ribosomal RNA, 301 nt
Filed under: uncultured Sporohalobacter sp.
Lineage: Bacteria; Bacillati; Bacillota; Clostridia; Halanaerobiales; Halobacteroidaceae
Description: bacterial SSU rRNA
Rfam family: Bacterial small subunit ribosomal RNA
Source: RNAcentral
CGGUUACAGAGGUACCUUGAGCGGGGGUAAUACGGAGGGUGCGGGCCUUAAUCGGAAGUACUUGGCGUAAAGCGUGCGCAGGCGGUUAUGUAAGACAGAUGUGAAAUCCCCGGGCUCAACCUGGGAACUGCGUUUGUGACUGCAUCACUCGAGUACGGCAGAGGGAGGUGGAAUUCCACGUGUAGCAGUGAAAUGCGUAGAGAUGUGGAGGAACACCGAUGGCGAAGGCAGCCUCCUGGGCCAGUACUGACGCUCAUGCACGAAAGCGUGGGGAGCAAACAGGAUUAGAUACCCUGUAGUC